GCUGGAAUGGGUAUACAGGCUAGUCUUAGAAACUAGUGUACUAAGUACAUAAGGGUUCAAGUCCCUUGGAGGGU
This 74-nucleotide transfer RNA is filed under the name Crassvirales sp. RNAcentral describes it as "tRNA-Leu". It matches the Rfam family "tRNA", at positions 9 to 63 of the family's 71-position model. From Rfam's summary of the family: Transfer RNA (tRNA) molecules are approximately 80 nucleotides in length. Their secondary structure includes four short double-helical elements and three loops (D, anti-codon, and T loops). The record is from RNAcentral. Lineage: Duplodnaviria; Heunggongvirae; Uroviricota; Caudoviricetes; Crassvirales.